Hyaena hyaena (striped hyena) is the source of this 74-nucleotide non-coding RNA. NCBI's taxonomy places the organism in Eukaryota, Metazoa, Chordata, Mammalia, Carnivora, Hyaenidae. The record is from the annotation of a RefSeq genome assembly.
GCCAAAAUAUCUCAGGUGGGAGAGCAUUAGACUGAAGAUCUAAGGGUACCUGGUUCAAUCCCCGGGUUUUGGCA